CGAAGGGGCGUAGCGUUGCUCGGAAUCACUGGGCGUAAAGGGCGCGUAGGCGGCGUUUUAAGUCGGGGGUGAAAGCCUGUGGCUCAACCACAGAAUGGCCUUCGAUACUGGGACGCUUGAGUAUGGUAGAGGUUGGUGGAACUGCGAGUGUAGAGGUGAAAUUCGUAGAUAUUCGCAAGAACACCGGUGGCGAAGGCGGCCAACUGGACCAUUACUGACGCUGAGGCGCGAAAAGCGUGGGGAGCAAACAGGAUU
This 255-nucleotide ribosomal RNA is filed under the name uncultured bacterium. RNAcentral describes it as "partial 16S ribosomal RNA". It matches the Rfam family "Bacterial small subunit ribosomal RNA", at positions 526 to 779 of the family's 1533-position model. The record is from RNAcentral.